GAGGAUAUAGCUCAGUGGUAGAGCAUAUGCUUAGCAUGCACAAGGUCCUGGUUCAAUCCCCAGUGCCUCCA
This 71-nucleotide transfer RNA is filed under the name Camelus bactrianus (Bactrian camel). It matches the Rfam family "tRNA". Rfam says of the family: Transfer RNA (tRNA) molecules are approximately 80 nucleotides in length. The record is from Rfam by way of RNAcentral. Lineage: Eukaryota; Metazoa; Chordata; Mammalia; Artiodactyla; Camelidae. RNAcentral also lists the same sequence under 2 other names.